AGCUUAUAAAGAAAGACGGAGGGAUUAGACCCGACGAAGUCUUAGCAACCUGUGCUGACAAGGUGCUACAUUCUACUCGAACGCUGCGGCUGUUCCUGAAAGAUAAGUU
RNAcentral lists this non-coding RNA (109 nucleotides) under Pedobacter antarcticus. RNAcentral describes it as "Sphingobacterium antarcticus SAM-I sequence". It matches the Rfam family "SAM riboswitch aptamer (S box leader)". From Rfam's summary of the family: The SAM riboswitch is found upstream of a number of genes which code for proteins involved in methionine or cysteine biosynthesis in Gram-positive bacteria. The SAM riboswitch acts at the level of transcription termination control. Lineage: Bacteria; Pseudomonadati; Bacteroidota; Sphingobacteriia; Sphingobacteriales; Sphingobacteriaceae. RNAcentral also lists the same sequence under 1 other name. The record is from RNAcentral.